Molecule: ribosomal RNA, 1051 nt
Filed under: Escherichia coli
Lineage: Bacteria; Pseudomonadati; Pseudomonadota; Gammaproteobacteria; Enterobacterales; Enterobacteriaceae
Description: partial 23S ribosomal RNA
Rfam family: Bacterial large subunit ribosomal RNA
Source: RNAcentral
UCCUGACUGACCGAUAGUGAACCAGUACCGUGAGGGAAAGGCGAAAAGAACCCCGGCGAGGGGAGUGAAAAAGAACCUGAAACCGUGUACGUACAAGCAGUGGGAGCACGCUUAGGCGUGUGACUGCGUACCUUUUGUAUAAUGGGUCAGCGACUUAUAUUCUGUAGCAAGGUUAACCGAAUAGGGGAGCCGAAGGGAAACCGAGUCUUAACUGGGCGUUAAGUUGCAGGGUAUAGACCCGAAACCCGGUGAUCUAGCCAUGGGCAGGUUGAAGGUUGGGUAACACUAACUGGAGGACCGAACCGACUAAUGUUGAAAAAUUAGCGGAUGACUUGUGGCUGGGGGUGAAAGGCCAAUCAAACCGGGAGAUAGCUGGUUCUCCCCGAAAGCUAUUUAGGUAGCGCCUCGUGAAUUCAUCUCCGGGGGUAGAGCACUGUUUCGGCAAGGGGGUCAUCCCGACUUACCAACCCGAUGCAAACUGCGAAUACCGGAGAAUGUUAUCACGGGAGACACACGGCGGGUGCUAACGUCCGUCGUGAAGAGGGAAACAACCCAGACCGCCAGCUAAGGUCCCAAAGUCAUGGUUAAGUGGGAAACGAUGUGGGAAGGCCCAGACAGCCAGGAUGUUGGCUUAGAAGCAGCCAUCAUUUAAAGAAAGCGUAAUAGCUCACUGGUCGAGUCGGCCUGCGCGGAAGAUGUAACGGGGCUAAACCAUGCACCGAAGCUGCGGCAGCGACGCUUAUGCGUUGUUGGGUAGGGGAGCGUUCUGUAAGCCUGCGAAGGUGUGCUGUGAGGCAUGCUGGAGGUAUCAGAAGUGCGAAUGCUGACAUAAGUAACGAUAAAGCGGGUGAAAAGCCCGCUCGCCGGAAGACCAAGGGUUCCUGUCCAACGUUAAUCGGGGCAGGGUGAGUCGACCCCUAAGGCGAGGCCGAAAGGCGUAGUCGAUGGGAAACAGGUUAAUAUUCCUGUACUUGGUGUUACUGCGAAGGGGGGACGGAGAAGGCUAUGUUGGCCGGGCGACGGUUGUCCCGGUUUAAGCGUGUAGGCUGGU